CAUGCAGUGCUUAAAUGAUAAAAUCAAUGCAUUACUAUAUUUGCUAGGCGUGUAGUGCCUAAAUGAUAAAAAUGAAUGCAUUAUGAUAUGUGCGUGCAGUGCUUAAAUGCAUAGAAAUAUGCACCGAUAAAGGCAAAAAUGACAUGUGGUGCUUAAAUGAUAAAAUAAAUGUAUUGCGAUAUGUGUCAGGUAAAGGCCAAA
This 201-nucleotide long non-coding RNA is filed under the name Capsicum annuum. Its description in RNAcentral is "long non-coding RNA (CANN_LNC016371)". The record is from RNAcentral. Lineage: Eukaryota; Viridiplantae; Streptophyta; Magnoliopsida; Solanales; Solanaceae.